Molecule: long non-coding RNA, 527 nt
Organism: Acanthochromis polyacanthus (spiny chromis)
Lineage: Eukaryota; Metazoa; Chordata; Actinopteri; Pomacentridae
Exons: 3
Source: RefSeq, a predicted model, not a curated record
AGAAUUUUAUUGAGUUUUAUUUUGAAAUGGGCCUGAAAUACACAGACAUUCAAGCAGUGCGAUGCGCUAAGAAUCUGCCAUGCAGACCAGCGAUCCUGAUAAUGUUGUCGGCCUUGGAUGAUGAGGUCCAGUUACCAGGAGCACUAGUCUGCAGCUUACUGGUUCCGUCCUGCAGCUCCUCCACGCUGUCCUCCUCUCUACAGACCAAAUCAAGAAAAGGGAACCAGGAAGCUGCUGUGGAUCCUCUGCAGUAUCUGGAGAGGUCAGAGGAACGGUUCUUGGAACAGAUCGGAAGACACCAAGACGUGACCUCUGCCAUGCUCCAGAACAUCCAGAAGAUGAAUGAAAACCUUGGUUGCACUGAUGGGACGCAUGGUGUCGGUGCUGGAGCAACUGUCCCAGAAUUAAACUGCAUUGUUGACUAUUGGCUUUUCUAGAAAAUAAAUCUUUUUUAGUACUUCACCUGUUUUGUAUUUUACCCAUGCACUUUGGGUGAAUAAACAGAAAUUUGUGAUGAGAGAUGCAAA